CCCUUAGAUGUUCUGGGCCGCACGCGCGCUACGCUGUUCGACGCAGCGAGUCUUAACCUUGACCGAAAGGUUUGGGUAAUCUUCAGCAAAGUCGAACGUGAUGGGGAUCGAUCAUUGCAAUUAUUGAUCGUGAACGAGGAAUUCCUAGUAAGUGCAAGUCAUCAGCUUGCGCUGAUUACGUCCCUGCCCUUUGUACACACCGCCCGUCGCUACUACCGAUUGAAUGGUUUAGUGAGAUCUCUGGAUUGACGCUGGCUAGGGGGCGACCCUUGGCCAGGCUGUCGAGAAACUGCUCAAACUUGAUCAUUUAGAGGAAGUAAAAGUCGUAACA
This 331-nucleotide ribosomal RNA is filed under the name uncultured eukaryote. Its description in RNAcentral is "partial 18S ribosomal RNA". It matches the Rfam family "Eukaryotic small subunit ribosomal RNA", at positions 1470 to 1796 of the family's 1831-position model. The record is from RNAcentral.